CCUACGGGUGGCAGCAGUGGGGAAUUGUUCGCAAUGGGCGCAAGCCUGACGACGCAACGCCGCGUGGAGGAUGAAGAUCUUCGGGUCGUAUCUUCGGAUGUCGAUGAGCGCGGUACCAUUAAAGGAAGCCCCGGCUAACUCCGUGCCAGCAGCCGCGGUAAUACGGGGGGGGCAAGCGUUGUUCGGAAUUACUGGGCGUAAAGGGCUCGUAGGUGGUCAACUAAGUCAGACGUGAAAUCCCCAGGCUCAACUUGGGAACUGCGUCUGAUACUGGAUGGCUUGAAUUCGGGAGAGGGAGGCAGAAUUCCAGGUGUAGCGGUGAAAUGCGUAGAUAUCUGGAGGAAUACCGGUGGCGAAGGCGGCAUCCUGGACGAAUUGACACUGAUGAGCGAAAGCUAGGGGAGCAAACGGGAUUAGAUACCCGUGUAGUC
This 431-nucleotide ribosomal RNA is filed under the name uncultured bacterium. Its description in RNAcentral is "partial 16S ribosomal RNA". It matches the Rfam family "Bacterial small subunit ribosomal RNA", at positions 338 to 795 of the family's 1533-position model. The record is from RNAcentral.